RNAcentral lists this ribosomal RNA (254 nucleotides) under uncultured bacterium. Its description in RNAcentral is "partial 16S ribosomal RNA". It matches the Rfam family "Bacterial small subunit ribosomal RNA", at positions 524 to 776 of the family's 1533-position model. The record is from RNAcentral.
UACGUAGGGGGCAAGCGUUGUCCGGAUUUAUUGGGCGUAAAGAGCUCGUAGGCGGUGUGUCGCGUCGGUCGUGAAAACUUGGGGCUUAACUCUGAGCUUGCGGUCGAUACGGGCAUCACUGGAGUUCGGCAGGGGAGACUGGAAUUCCUGGUGUAGCGGUGAAAUGCGCAGAUAUCAGGAGGAACACCGGUGGCGAAGGCGGGUCUCUGGGCCGAUACUGACGCUGAGGAGCGAAAGCGUGGGGAGCGAACAGG